UACGUAGGGGGCUAGCGUUGUCCGGAAUCAUUGGGCGUAAAGAGCGUGUAGGCGGCUCGGUAAGUCCGCUGUGAAAGUCCAGGGCUCAACCCUGGAAUGCCGGUGGAAACUGUCGGGCUAGAGUCCGGAAGAGGCGAGUGGAAUUCCUGGUGUAGCGGUGAAAUGCGCAGAUAUCAGGAGGAACACCAGUGGCGAAGGCGACUUACUGGACACAUAUUGACGCUGAGGUGCGAAAGCGUGGGGAGCAAACAGG
This 253-nucleotide ribosomal RNA is filed under the name uncultured prokaryote. Its description in RNAcentral is "partial 16S ribosomal RNA". It matches the Rfam family "Bacterial small subunit ribosomal RNA", at positions 524 to 776 of the family's 1533-position model. The record is from RNAcentral.